CAGCAGCCACGGUAAAACGGAGGGGGCUAGCGUUGUUCGGAAUUACUGGGCGUAAAGCGCACGUAGGCGGCUUGGUAAGUUAGAGGUGAAAGCCUGGAGCUCAACUCCAGAAUUGCCUUUAAGACUGCCGAGCUAGCAGGUGAGAGAGGUAAGUGGAAUUCCGAGUGUAGAGGUGAAAUUCGUAGAUAUUCGGAAGAACACCAGUGGCGAAGGCGGCUUACUGGCUCAUACUGGACGCUGAGGUGCGAAAGCGUGGGGAGCAAACAGGAUUAGAUACCCCUGUAGUCCCUGUCUCUUAUAC
Molecule: ribosomal RNA, 301 nt
Filed under: uncultured bacterium
Lineage: Bacteria
Description: partial 16S ribosomal RNA
Rfam family: Bacterial small subunit ribosomal RNA
Source: RNAcentral